CUGAUGAUUAUUUCAAAUUUUACUUUCGUACUUUAUGAACAAAAAUGGCAUUUAUAUUUCUACAACAAAUUUACAUGCAUGGGUCAAAAAUGACCCAUUCAUUCAAGUGGGAUUCUAAUAUAAAUGAGUUAAUACUAUAAUAAUAACAUUUGUUUUGGAAGUAAUAUGUUUUGCUUUGAGUUUCUUUUCAUUUUGUCCCACAUACCUCUGAUAACACAACAUGUCUGAACUGGAUCAGUAACAACUGUAAACUGGUGUGGGACGUCCGUUUACACCAAUUGCCACCUCAGUUUUUACAUGCCUCACAAAGUGCUUCCAAUGUCAGCUGUGGCUACAUCAGUAGAUACCAUCACCUGGAGCACACGUUAACUGUUUAUCAUACUUUAUGUACUGUAUAUAAGUUGUACGGCGACCUUGAGUGCUCAGAAAGGCGCCUUAUAAUUACAAUGUAUUAUUAUUAUUUUUAUUGUUAUUCUUCCCACCCCCAGUUCCAAUAAAGGCAGUGGAGCCCCUGUCAUGUUUCCAUGGAAUUCUAAUAUCAGUUUUAUUGCUGGGCAACAACAACCUGAAGAAAAGAGGGGCGGAAGGUAUAGGUAUAUCCUCUUUUGGACGGGAGGGUCCCUCAGAGGGCUCACAUGUUUCCUCAGCGACCCCACCCCCAGGCUGCAGAGGCCGUUAUGUAAGCCACAGACUUGAGAAUUCCUUUUAGAGAGAGGAGGGGGGGUCCUCCUAGUCACUCUGAGGCAAUGCCCAUCCCUGCAUGACCAAAGCAGAAGAGCAGUGUUACAUAACCACGCAGCCCUCGUGGCUGCUGCUCCAUCUGUACGUAAGGUGAUGAAUCCAGCGUCUGCUUAGUCAUCUCUGCAUCCUCACUCCUCCUCGUGAGCUCCCCUUUCAGAUCACGGCUAUUAAACUGUCAACAAUAAGGGGCAAAUGAAGCACUUAGAAAGGAGAACCUUUCAGGUGACAUCAACUGAAAUGAAAACUGACUAAGAUGAAAUGCUUUCAUGCAUUCAGGUCAAACCACAAACAAGGAGAGGGCUCCAUCAUGUGGACAAAGAAGCUGCUGAGUCUCUGCAUCAGAACAGUUCUUAUGAGCUUUAGCAGCAUGGAGGUCUGAGCAAACAGGAAACUUCAUGUCUGACUGGCAGCAGCCGUGGAAUCUGAUUCACAGUUUCUGUUGGAGACAAACAAUCGUUCUUGAACGUCUGAGCAGGAUCAGCACGAACACAGAGCUGUCAAAGGUUUUCAGUGGAAAAACCUGCAGUCAGUCCCGCUGGACACGGACACAUCUAAGUCAUCUGAAUCAAGCGUUUUCCACGUUUAUGCAUCUGAUAAACAUCGAUUCAUGGACGUCUAUUUCACAUCGCUGUUUAGAUCUCUUGCGGAAUCUUUCCCACAGCUAAUCCUGUCGCAGCCCAUCAUGCCUUGCGGCUGGAUACGGAGGACAAUAUUUGUCAAAAACAAGAUCUGACGGUGGACUGUUCAAAGUCGACUUCAAGUGUAUUAAGCGGAGGUCGUUGCAUCCUGUUUCUGUUGCCAUCUGCAUUGCUAUUUUAGGCGACUUUUGUGUGUUUCAAUUGUCCAAAGUUGUAAUUUAUUGUGUAAGAUUGUUAAAAAAGAAGUUGUGCUGUUCUGAUUCUCCUGAAUGAAUAUGCUGUUCCCCCAUAAAAGGAAGUCUGAAUGUUGAA
Non-coding RNA from Oryzias latipes (Japanese medaka), 1691 nucleotides. The record is from RefSeq and is a predicted model, not a curated record. NCBI's taxonomy places the organism in Eukaryota, Metazoa, Chordata, Actinopteri, Beloniformes, Adrianichthyidae.